AGAGUUUGAUCCUGGCUCAGGACGAACGCUGGCGGCGUGCCUAAUACAUGCAAGUCGAACGAAACUUUCUUACACCGAAUGCUUGCAUUCAUCGUAAGAAGUUGAGUGGCGGACGGGUGAGUAACACGUGGGUAACCUGCCUAAAAGAAGGGGAUAACACUUGGAAACAGGUGCUAAUACCGUAUAUCUCUAAGGAUCGCAUGAUCCUUAGAUGAAAGAUGGUUCUGCUAUCACUUUUAGAUGGACCCGCGGCGUAUUAACUAGUUGGUGGGGUAACGGCCUACCAAGGUGAUGAUACGUAGCCGAACUGAGAGGUUGAUCGGCCACAUUGGGACUGAGACACGGCCCAAACUCCUACGGGAGGCAGCAGUAGGGAAUCUUCCACAAUGGACGCAAGUCUGAUGGAGCAACGCCGCGUGAGUGAAGAAGGUCUUCGGAUCGUAAAACUCUGUUGUUAGAGAAGAACACGAGUGAGAGUAACUGUUCAUUCGAUGACGGUAUCUAACCAGCAAGUCACGGCUAACUACGUGCCAGCAGCCGCGGUAAUACGUAGGUGGCAAGCGUUGUCCGGAUUUAUUGGGCGUAAAGGGAACGCAGGCGGUCUUUUAAGUCUGAUGUGAAAGCCUUCGGCUUAACCGGAGUAGUGCAUUGGAAACUGGAAGACUUGAGUGCAGAAGAGGAGAGUGGAACUCCAUGUGUAGCGGUGAAAUGCGUAGAUAUAUGGAAGAACACCAGUGGCGAAAGCGGCUCUCUGGUCUGUAACUGACGCUGAGGUUCGAAAGCGUGGGUAGCAAACAGGAUUAGAUACCCUGGUAGUCC
Molecule: ribosomal RNA, 819 nt
Filed under: uncultured bacterium
Lineage: Bacteria
Description: bacterial SSU rRNA
Rfam family: Bacterial small subunit ribosomal RNA
Source: RNAcentral